RNAcentral lists this ribosomal RNA (240 nucleotides) under uncultured bacterium. RNAcentral describes it as "partial 16S ribosomal RNA". It matches the Rfam family "Bacterial small subunit ribosomal RNA", at positions 94 to 334 of the family's 1533-position model. The record is from RNAcentral.
AGCGGCGGACGGGUGAGUAACGCGUGGGUAACCUGCCUCAUACAGGGGGAUAACAGUUGGAAACGGCUGCUAAUACCGCAUAAGCGCACAGUACCGCAUGGUACCGUGUGAAAAACUCCGGUGGUAUGAGAUGGACCCGCGUCUGAUUAGCUAGUUGGCGGGGUAACGGCCCACCAAAGCGACGAUCAGUAGCCGACCUGAGAGGGUGACCGGCCACAUUGGGACUGAGACACGGCCCAA